Molecule: ribosomal RNA, 253 nt
Filed under: uncultured bacterium
Lineage: Bacteria
Description: partial 16S ribosomal RNA
Rfam family: Bacterial small subunit ribosomal RNA
Source: RNAcentral
UACGUAGGGUGCGAGCGUUGUCCGGAAUUAUUGGGCGUAAAGGGCUCGUAGGCGGUCUGUCACGUCGGGAGUGAAAACACGGGGCUUAACCCCGUGCCUGCUUCCGAUACGGGCAGACUAGAGGUAUGCAGGGGAGAACGGAAUUCCUGGUGUAGCGGUGAAAUGCGCAGAUAUCAGGAGGAACACCGGUGGCGAAGGCGGUUCUCUGGGCAUUACCUGACGCUGAGGAGCGAAAGUGUGGGGAGCGAACGGG